RNAcentral lists this ribosomal RNA (637 nucleotides) under Trichophyton benhamiae. Its description in RNAcentral is "eukaryotic LSU rRNA". It matches the Rfam family "Eukaryotic large subunit ribosomal RNA", at positions 1 to 649 of the family's 3401-position model. The record is from RNAcentral. Lineage: Eukaryota; Fungi; Ascomycota; Eurotiomycetes; Onygenales; Arthrodermataceae.
UUGACCUCGGAUCAGGUAGGGAUACCCGCUGAACUUAAGCAUAUCAAUAAGCGGAGGAAAAGAAACCAACAGGGAUUGCCCCAGUAACGGCGAGUGAAGCGGCAAGAGCUCAAAUUUGAAAUCUGGCCUCCUCCGGGGGUCCGAGUUGUAAUUUGCAGAGGAUGCUUCGGGUGCGGCCCCCGUCUAAGUUCCUUGGAACAGGACGUCAGAGAGGGUGAGAAUCCCGUCUUGGGCGGGCGGCCCGCGCCCGUGUGAAGCUCCUUCGACGAGUCGAGUUGUUUGGGAAUGCAGCUCUAAGCGGGUGGUAAAUUUCAUCUAAAGCUAAAUAUUGGCCGGAGACCGAUAGCGCACAAGUAGAGUGAUCGAAAGGUUAAAAGCACCUUGAAAAGGGAGUUAAACAGCACGUGAAAUUGUUGAAAGGGAAGCGCUUGCGGCCAGACUCGGGGGCGGGGUUCAGCGGGCGCUCGUCGCCCGUGCACUCCCCGCGCCCCGGGCCAGCAUCAGUUUCGACGGUCGGUCAAAGGCCCCCGGAAUGUGUCGUCUCUAGGGACGUCUUAUAGCCGGGGGUGCAAUGCGGCCCGUCGGGACUGAGGAACGCGCUUCGGCUCGGAUGCUGGCGUAAUGGCCGUAAGCGGCC